RNAcentral lists this ribosomal RNA (253 nucleotides) under uncultured bacterium. Its description in RNAcentral is "partial 16S ribosomal RNA". It matches the Rfam family "Bacterial small subunit ribosomal RNA", at positions 524 to 776 of the family's 1533-position model. The record is from RNAcentral.
UACAUGGGGUGCAAACGUUGUUCGGAAUUACUGGGCGUAAAGGGCGCGUAGGCGGCUUGGCAAGUGGAUGGUGAAAUCCCUCGGCUUAACCGAGGAACUGCCGUCCAAACUGCUUCGCUUGAGACCGGGAGAGGUGAGUGGAAUUCCCAGUGUAGCGGUGAAAUGCGUAGAUAUUGGGAGGAACACCAGUGGCGAAGGCGGCUCACUGGACCGGUACUGACGCUGAUGCGCGAAAGCGUGGGGAGCAAACGGG